RNAcentral lists this ribosomal RNA (840 nucleotides) under uncultured bacterium. RNAcentral's name for it is "bacterial SSU rRNA". It matches the Rfam family "Bacterial small subunit ribosomal RNA", at positions 125 to 949 of the family's 1533-position model. The record is from RNAcentral.
CCUGCCCAUAAGACUGGGAUAACUCCGGGAAACCGGGGCUAAUACCGGAUAACAUUUUGAACCGCAUGGUUCGAAAUUGAAAGGCGGCUUCGGCUGUCACUUAUGGAUGGACCCGCGUCGCAUUAGCUAGUUGGUGAGGUAACGGCUCACCAAGGCAACGAUGCGUAGCCGACCUGAGAGGGUGAUCGGCCACACUGGGACUGAGACACGGCCCAGACUCNUACGGGAGGCAGCAGUAGGGAAUCUUCCGCAAUGGACGAAAGUCUGACGGAGCAACGCCGCGUGAGUGAUGAAGGCUUUCGGGUCGUAAAACUCUGUUGUUAGGGAAGAACAAGUGCUAGUUGAAUAAGCUGGCACCUUGACGGUACCUAACCAGAAAGCCACGGCUAACUACGUGCCAGCAGCCGCGGUAAUACGUAGGUGGCAAGCGUUAUCCGGAAUUAUUGGGCGUAAAGCGCGCGCAGGUGGUUUCUUAAGUCUGAUGUGAAAGCCCACGGCUCAACCGUGGAGGGUCAUUGGAAACUGGGAGACUUGAGUGCAGAAGAGGAAAGUGGAAUUCCAUGUGUAGCGGUGAAAUGCGUAGAGAUAUGGAGGAACACCAGUGGCGAAGGCGACUUUCUGGUCUGUAACUGACACUGAGGCGCGAAAGCGUGGGGAGCAAGCAGGAUUAGAUACCCUGGUAGUCCACGCCGUAAACGAUGAGUGCUAAGUGUUAGGGGGUUUCCGCCCUUUAGUGCUGAAGUUAACGCAUUAAGCACUCCGCCUGGGGAGUACGGCCGCAAGGCUGAAACUCAAAGGAAUUGACGGGGGCCCGCACAAGCGGUGGAGCAUGUGGUUUAA